Molecule: ribosomal RNA, 107 nt
Filed under: uncultured bacterium
Lineage: Bacteria
Description: partial 16S ribosomal RNA
Source: RNAcentral
CUCGUACACACCGCCCCGUCACAACCAUUGGGACGUGGGUUCCACCCAGAAGUAGGUAGCCUAACCGUAAGGAGGCGCUUACCACGGUGAGAUUCAUGACGUGGGUG